This 467-nucleotide ribosomal RNA is filed under the name uncultured bacterium. RNAcentral describes it as "partial 16S ribosomal RNA". It matches the Rfam family "Bacterial small subunit ribosomal RNA", at positions 28 to 507 of the family's 1533-position model. The record is from RNAcentral.
GACGAACGCUGGCGGCGUGCUUAACACAUGCAAGUCGAACGGAAAGGCCUCUUUCGGGGGGUACUCGAGUGGCGAACGGGUGAGUAACACGUGAGUAACCUGCCCUUGACUUUGGGAUAACUUCAGGAAACUGGGGCUAAUACCGGAUAGGAGCUCCUGCUGCAUGGUGGGGGUUGGAAAGUUUCGGCGGUUGGGGAUGGACUCGCGGCUUAUCAGCUUGUUGGUGGGGUAGUGGCUUACCAAGGCUUUGACGGGUAGCCGGCCUGAGAGGGUGACCGGCCACAUUGGGACUGAGAUACGGCCCAGACUCCUGCGGGAGGCAGCAGUGGGGAAUAUUGCACAAUGGGUGGAAGCCUGAUGCAGCAACGCCGUGUGCGGGAUGACGGCCUUCGGGUUGGAAACCGCUUUCGCUCAUGACGAAGCUUUGUGUGACGGUAGUGGGUAAAGAAGCACCGGCUAACUACGUG